This 484-nucleotide ribosomal RNA is filed under the name uncultured bacterium. RNAcentral's name for it is "partial 16S ribosomal RNA". It matches the Rfam family "Bacterial small subunit ribosomal RNA", at positions 30 to 507 of the family's 1533-position model. The record is from RNAcentral.
AUUGAACGCUGGCGGCAGGCCUAACACAUGCAAGUCGAGCGGAUGAAGGGAGCUUGCUCCUGGAUUCAGCGGCGGACGGGUGAGUAAUGCCUAGGAAUCUGCCUGGUAGUGGGGGAUAACGUCCGGAAACGGGCGCUAAUACCGCAUACGUCCUGAGGGAGAAAGUGGGGGAUCUUCGGACCUCACGCUAUCAGAUGAGCCUAGGUCGGAUUAGCUAGUUGGUGGGGUAAAGGCCUACCAAGGCGACGAUCCGUAACUGGUCUGAGAGGAUGAUCAGUCACACUGGAACUGAGACACGGUCCAGACUCCUACGGGAGGCAGCAGUGGGGAAUAUUGGACAAAGGGCGAAAGCCUGAUCCAGCCAUGCCGCGUGUGUGAAGAAGGUCUUCGGAUUGUAAAGCACUUUAAGUUGGGAGGAAGGGAAGUAAGUUAAUACCUUGCUGUUUUGACGUUACCAACAGAAUAAGCACCGGCUAACUUCGUG